AAAAAAAAAAAAAAGAAGCAUCUUCUCCAAGGCAUUCCAUGUGCAUCUUUAUUCCUUGCUAUAUAAAACCGCCCUUCCCCUAAUACAUAAUUACUACAUUACCAUACUUCAACUAGCCCCCAUUGCUUCAUAAAUCUUGAAUAUGAGCAUAUAAUAUCAAUCAUGUAUUUACACACAGUUCUCAAUAUUUUAUAAAAAAUCAUAAUAAUCAAGGAAGGC
This 219-nucleotide long non-coding RNA is filed under the name Gossypium barbadense (sea-island cotton). RNAcentral describes it as "long non-coding RNA (GBAR_LNC014245)". The record is from RNAcentral. Lineage: Eukaryota; Viridiplantae; Streptophyta; Magnoliopsida; Malvales; Malvaceae.